Molecule: long non-coding RNA, 590 nt
Filed under: Pongo abelii (Sumatran orangutan)
Lineage: Eukaryota; Metazoa; Chordata; Mammalia; Primates; Hominidae
Description: lincRNA
Source: RNAcentral
AUUGCAAAAUUGUGUGAAGUUGACCCUUGGGUAAAAAUCAGAAUUUACAUUUUGAUUUUAAAUUUUAUAAGUACCCUUGGCUGUGUACAUUUGAGUAAAGAGCACUAUAAAAUCAAAAACCAAUGAAAUGGUUUCCAGAACACAGAACUAUUAAGCUUAAGAAAAGGACAGAAGGAACUGAAGAGAGAGGAAAUAUGUUUUGGAGCAUCACACUUCCACCUCAGAAGAAAUAAGGAAGGAAGGAGGAGGAUGUUCCCACGGCUCUUCAACCAGGCCGGCUCUUCAGCCUACAUCCCAAUCUCAUCAAGUAAAAGGGAUUUUUCAACUGGACCAAUCAGAUGGUUUAACAGUGCACUCCCACACAAUUCAACUACGCAAGGGAGAUUCACUUAACAUAUGCAGUCGUAUAACACCUACUAACAUUUUCAAACAUUAAACCUUUAAAAAAGAGUUCUAAAGAAAUAGAAGCAUGAAGUAUCAUCUCUCAAGUAUAUAGACACUACUUCAUGGUGUGGUAAUAUAUGCAUAUAGAAGCUAGUAAAUACCUCCAGGAGAUGCAAAAGGAAUUAGAACUGCCACAAGGUGCAAGC